GCGCAUUAAAACAGUCCAAUCGAUUUCGUGGCGGUUCAAGGGAUCGUACAAAUCAUAGAGGUAUAUAUUAACAUAGAGUGAGCCCUCACUCCGCCACCACUGACGACAAGAUCUCUUCGACUGGUUUGCGGUAUCUCUUUCUAGCACAAUGUAUCGAGAAACAUAACAUGAAACUAAGUGGGGGUACGGGACGGCAAGUGAAAUAAGGAGAAUUACUUUAUUCUUCUUUUUUCUUUAAUUAUUAUGACAAGUGACAAGACAACAUAACCCAAAUAAUUUAAUCCGGCCCUAUUUCUAUUUUUGAACAAAAUGUUGGAAAUAUCUUAGUUUAUUUUUAGUUCUAGCUUAUUUAUGGCUAGAUUGAAAAUCUGAAUUUUCUAAUAUUGGUUCAUGAUUAUCAUCAGGGACUUGAUUCGGUUCUUAAACAGGUAAAUUUUCUGUCUCAUCUGAUAUUGAUUUGGUAGUGGAAUUCUUUAGUGUAUUAUGUGGACUUUCAUUUUCAUCUUAAUCACUAUUGUGAUUCAAUAAUUUUAGGUCACUUUUAGGAGCUGAGUACUUCGUUGCAACUGUACUUUUCUUUCUGUUUGGAUACUGCAUUAAGGCAUAAUGUACAUUGGCUUCUAAAAGAUAAUCCUUUUCAACUAAAGGAUCAAACUUACUCAUUCAUACAAAUUUUCUUAGUAAUACUUUGUCUGAAUCUUUCAUGAAGAAAUAGAAUUUCUGCUAGUUGAUCUUCAUUGAUAAGUAAACACAUGUUCAUGAUGUGUACAAUUGGUUGCUGUAGACAGUAAACUUCAUAUAGAGUGCAGAGCAUCUGGUAUAUAGAACAUUUUUCCAUUUAGUGAUGUCUAAAUUUCUGGUUUUCAAUGCUAGAUUCACUGCUUUCCAUAUAACUCCAUUGUAUCUUUUAACUUAACCAUUUCCUUCAAUAUGGUGUUGUUCUACUUGAAGAUAUUCCUUUAGAGUGUAGGUAAUUAAUAAAUUCUUGGUAAGUCAAGCUAGUCCCCCUGUCUGACUGGACGUAUCUUAGCAUGGAAAUCUUGAAAAUUCAUCAAUUUUUUUUUGUUCAGAAUCUGUGAGGAUACGUGAGAAAAAAGUAACGGGUCUUCCAGAUUGACUCAGCAUGAUAGCAAUAGCAAAUUCAUUCAUGUAUCUGUUUCAACAAUGAGAAUUUAUUUUUCAUUAAUUACUGUCCAUAGAAGUGCAAUAUUGUAUAUCCCAAAAUAUUUAUAGCUUUUGGGGUGUAUUCUGUAACACUUCCGUUAAAUUUUAGUGGCCUCUAAAAUUUUAGCGCCCGCUAAAAAUAUUUUGUUAUUCUGUAAAUCAUACAUCCGUUAAAAUCAUAACCUAAACCGUUAAAACUCCCUCUAAAUAAAAAUAUUUUAGAGGAUGUCAAAACGUACCCGCUAAAUUUUUAGCAGUCCGUUAAAUGUUAAAUGUGGUUUGAUUAUUUUUGUUGGGUUAUGUUUGUAUGAAUAGUACUUUGUUAUUCUUGUAUUAUACUGGAGAUAAAUAUUUAAAAAUGGAAAAUGGCUUUUUAUAAUGUAUUUGGUGAAGAAGUACUUAAUAAAUAAUAAUGAAAGAGCUGAUUUCAGAUUACAACAUAAACACAAAGUAAAUAAUUGACCUGAAAGUAAAUAACUACAAUUACCAUUUCAAAGGAAGUAGGUAAUACCUACCUAAGUACCUAGAAAUGUUAUUGAAAAAGUGUUGGAAGUCAAAGAUGUUUGUCAAAGCAAUUAAAUCCUAUUAAUGCAGGUAAAAUUAUUUAAAGUUAUUGUGGAACAUUACAAAACGUACCAAAUGAUUACAAAGGUAAAGUUUCAGAAGGUUUAUAACCAGAUGCAGAUUAGAGAGAUUUUGCACCUCUUGAAAUAACCGCUGAUUUUGGCUCCGCUAUGGUUAACUUUAUUAAGCAUAACGAUUACGGCAACGUUAAAAAGCAGAGUUUUUGCAGCCUGUCAAGUAGGUUUUUCGUGUCAUCCUUAUCGUUAUUUAAACAUAACCUCACUUCACAACUUUAUUGUAAUUUUAAGCAUAUAGUUGAACAGUUUUUGAUAUUUUAAUUUAUAGGUAAUCAAAAUUAGAAUCUAUGUAAAUGUAAUUUUACUGAUUUUUUUACAUUCUGGCAACAAAGCAAUUUAACCAUUACUAUAACGAUAACGAUAAGCACUACUUUAAACCUCCGUAAAUUACGGAAUCCCUUAUGUUUAAUAACGAUAUCGGAUCAUAUAUUCGCUACUGCGCAGAUGUAGUACAACGAUAACCAUAACGGAAUUGCAAAAUAAGUGGUGCAAAAUCUCUCUAUUAAUAAGAUGACCUUAAUGUUAUUGAAAAUAGACCAUUUGACCAAAAUUAUUGUCCAAGGAGAGAAGAAAAAAUAAGAUAUGCAUUUUUUCAGCAAUAUUUUAAUGUAUAACUUUAUAAAUAAAAAUGUUUAAUUGGAAAAUAUGGGUUUUACUAAAAAAUAAUUAAAUAUAAUAAGUAUUAUUUUCUAGGAAACUGUCAUUUUCUUCUUCUUCUUAAGGUUUUUGGCCUCUAACAGUCAGUUUUCGGUGAAUUUCUAGGUUAAAAGUAGUUCAAAACGAUCAACGUGCGACGUUGCCGUAUUUGUUCCAAAACCUUUUAGAGGAUUCCUCUAAAAUAAUAUUAUUUUAGCGGUCCUCUAUAAUAUGUGUUUACAGAAUGACAAUCUAACCGAAAAGUUUUAGAGGACCGUUAAAAGUUAAAUUUUAGAGGACCGUUAAAAGUUAAAUUUUAGAGGCCUCUUAAAUUUAACGGAAAUGUUACAGAAUACACCCCUUUGAUUGUAGUGACAUUUAUUUUGAUUUAAAGUUAACCCAUAUUUUUUAACGGCAUUUAAAAACUUCAAAUCAUAGCUAUCUUAUGAUCCUCACCACUAACUGUUACUUCAUCUAAAUAAGCGUAAACCCCUUGUAGAUUUUCUUUUUUAUUGAUAGAAUCAAUGGCUCUCUAAAAAUAUGAUACUCCAUUGGUCACCCCAAGAGGAAUACGACAAAAUUGGUAAAGGCAUCCACUUUCCUCAAAAGCUGUACAUGGUUUGUCAGAUUCAUGAAUUGGCUAUUCUCAUUUAAAAAAAUAUUUGAUUACGUCAUCACGCCCAGAUGGAUGACGUCACUAGUAUGUUGUAUACAGUAGAACCCCGAAAAUCCGAACUAAUUGGGGGGACAGCCUGUUCGGAUUCUGAAAAGUUCGGAUUAUUCGAAAGUCAGCCUAACCAGUAAUUCAAAGCUCUCCUGCAAAACGUGUAACCUGGCUAUGAGAAAACCGAAGUAAAUUUAUGUUUAACCUUUAUAAGCACUACAUAUAAAGUACCUACGUAUUUAUUUUUAAGAAAUUUUAAAUGUCAAAGUCCUACGAAUCCAAUAUUGUUCAAUUUUCUGGUUAUACUUUGUAUAAUAAACAUGUAUUUAAGUUUUUGUCUUGAAUUUUUAAAAAAAAAUUCACUUUCCGUUAGUUUGGAUUUGCAGGGUUCUACUGUAUGUCAAAAAUAUAUAUGAGGGGGGCAAAAUAUAUUGAAUAACCCUGUACAUCAAGAAAUUUACUACCAACGUCUCUGUUACUGAAUAUAUCACUAAGUACAGGGCAACCUAUUUAAAACUUAAAAAAUCAGCUAAAAAAUUAAACUAUCAAAAUCAUCUGAGAAGCUUUAAAAGUGUUGCAAAAGAAAUUUGGUCCAUAAUAAACAAUCUUCUUCGAAAUCAAACUCACAAAGCUCAAACAUUUUCCCUUCCAGACCAUGAAUACUUUAUUAAUGUGAGUAAAAUUAUGACAUCAACUAUUUUGUCACAAGAGAUCAAUUUUGUUAAGAUCCGAUUUCCUAUCUCCCUAAUUCAAGAAAGGUCUCAAAUUCAUUAUUUAUAAGACUAGUUGAUUAAUCUGAACUGAUCCAAACAAUCAAUAGUAUCAAAAGCAAAUCUUCCUGUAGUACUGAUGGACUAUCCAUAAAAAUUGUCUCAAAUCUCCCAGAAAAUGUGUUGGGAGUCCGCAUCCCACUAAUGACUCUUUUAAGGGGCUAUCCUAGUGUAAAAGAACGAAAUUCACAUACUUUUUUUGGGAAUAUCUAAAAUAAAAAGUACUGUACCAAUUGUUUUGAAAAUUUGCAUGACUAUUUAUUAUAAAAAGAAGUACAAGUAAAACAAUUUUCAUAAAAAAAAAUAAUGAAAAUUUAACGAUUUAUGCCCUAUCUACUGGCACAGUGAAAAUAAAAAACAUGGCUCCACUGCUGCAGCGAUUGGGACUAAUAGAGAUCCUGAAUUAUAAAAUUGCAAAUACAUAUUGAUUAUUGAAAUAUUAGUUAUUUCCUAUACCAUCAAUUAGGAUUUUUGGAAAAAUGACGAAGUGUUGAAAUUUUUUUAAAUUAGCUAGAACAUUUUCAGUUUCAAAAACCGCCAAAUUGACAUUUUUUAUCCGAUUAAAAAAAUCCCUAUUUGAUGGUAUAGAAAAUAACCUAUAUUUCAAUAAUAACUUUUGAUAUUUUAUGUUUCAGGAUCUCUUUUAGUCCCAAUCACUGCAACAGUGGAGCUAUGUUUUUAUUUUCACGGUGCUAGUAGAUGGCGAAUAAAUCGUUUAAUUUUCAAUAUUUUUUUAUGAAAAUUGUUUCACAUGUACUUUUUAUAACAAAUGUUCAGUAGUAAUAACCAGAGGACAUUGAUAAUUGUUCGAAAAAUUUUUAUAACAGAUUUCGAAAGCUUGUUCCUUGGAAACAGACCGACGCCGUAGGCGGAGGUCUGUUGCCUGUAAGCAACAAGCUUGAGAAAGUUGUUAAAAAAUUUUUGAGCAUUUAUCAAUGUUCGAGGGUUAUUCGGAUAGAAAAUUUUUUGCUGAUAUAAAAUUAAUAAUAAUUUCAUUAAUAUUCUCAUCAGUAUUACAACCAAAUCGUGACAUUUUGAAAUAUUGAAUAUUUGAAAUGUCAAAAUUGAAAUGAAACGAAAUGUAGGUAUCCAUAGCUACAUGAUUGAGUGAAAACAGCCCAUGGGAUCUGUUUUCAGUAUAAUGUUGGUUGUAUUCAAUCAGAUGACCACAAAUUAAUUGAUUUCAUUGGAUUUCUAAUUGAGCAAAAAAUUUUCAAAAUAAUUGGUACAGUACUUUUUAUUUUAGAAAUUCCCAAAAAAGUAUAUGAAUUUCAUACUUUUACACUAGGAUAGCCCCUUAAGAAAGGUAAAUUUCUAGAGCUGCCUAAAGACAGCCAUCAUUAUUCCUCUUCAUAAGGGUGGUGAAAAAUCUAAUGCCUGCAAUUAUAGACCUAUUGCAUUACUACUGGUACUCUCAAAUAGGACUCAUAUUACACAAGUAUAAAAUCUUGUUGCUGGUAUGAGCACAUUGUGUAAAUGUUAGGAUUUAAAGAGGAUAUAAAAACCUUCAAUACAAUUAUGAGCGUUAGUCUCUUUAUAUCCUAACAUUUUUUUUGUUAUUGUUUUAGUUUAUUAUUGUUUUUUAUGACUCUGUAAGUUUUGUGUAUAAAUUGUACAAUUUUCCAUGACAAUAAAGCAUUUUUCUAUUCUAA
RNAcentral lists this long non-coding RNA (5527 nucleotides) under Diabrotica virgifera virgifera (western corn rootworm). Its description in RNAcentral is "uncharacterized LOC126887896". The record is from RNAcentral. Lineage: Eukaryota; Metazoa; Arthropoda; Insecta; Coleoptera; Chrysomelidae.